RNAcentral lists this ribosomal RNA (2152 nucleotides) under Anaeromassilibacillus sp. Marseille-P3371. Its description in RNAcentral is "bacterial LSU rRNA". It matches the Rfam family "Bacterial large subunit ribosomal RNA", at positions 689 to 2925 of the family's 2925-position model. The record is from RNAcentral. Lineage: Bacteria; Bacillati; Bacillota; Clostridia; Eubacteriales; Acutalibacteraceae.
AGGGCGUAUGAAGUCAGUUGUACACGACCCGAAACCGGGUGACCUACCCAUGUCCAGGUUGAAGUGGAGGUAAAACUCCAUGGAGGACCGAACCGACUCCCGUUGAAAUGGUAGCGGAUGAGGUGUGGGUAGCGGAGAAAUUCCAAUCGAACCCGGAGAUAGCUGGUUCUCUCCGAAAUAGCUUUAGGGCUAGCCUCGUAUUAGAUUACCGGAGGUAAAGCACUGAAUGGUCUAGGGGCCGAGAGGCUACCGAAACCUAUCAAACUCAGAAUGCCGGAUAAUUGAUGUACGGGAGUCAGACAGUGUGAGAUAAGUUUCAUUGUCAAAAGGGAAACAGCCCAGACCCACAGCUAAGGUCCCAAAAUAUUGUUAAGUGGAAAAGGAUGUGGGGUUGCACAGACAACCAGGAUGUUGGCUUAGAAGCAGCCACUCAUUAAAAGAGUGCGUAAUAGCUCACUGGUCGAGUGACCCUGCGCCGAAAAUUUAACGGGGCUAAACAGUAUACCGAAGCUUGGGAUUCCGUGAGGAAUGGUAGGAGAGCGUCGAAUGAGGGGUGAAGUCAUAGCGGAAGCGGUGGUGGACUUCAUUCGAGUGAGAAUGCCGGAAUGAGUAGCGCGAAAUGUGUGAGAAUCAUAUUGGCCGAAAGUCUAAGGUUUUUGGAGGAAGGUUCGUCCGCUCCAAGUAAGCCGGGAGCUAAGGCGAGGCCGAAAGGCGUAGUCGAUGCACAUACGGUGGAAAUUCCGUAGCCGCCAAAAGAUUUAAGAUAAGGGACACCCUAGAAAGGCAUGACCCGGGCGAUGGUCGCCCCGGGCGUAAGGGACCGAAAUUAGAGUAGGGAAGCAUGCUGGACGGGGGGCGAGAAAAGCUUAUUGUAUAUCUGAGGCGCCCGUACCGCAAACCGACACAGGUAGAUGGGAAGAGAAUUCUAAGGCCAACGGGAGAAGGGUAGUUAAGGAACUCGGCAAAUUGGUCCCGUAACUUAGGGAAAAGGGACGCCACGGAGACGUGGCCGCAGUGAAUAGGCCCAGGCGACUGUUUAGCAAAAACACAGGUCUCUGCUAAAUCGAAAGAUGAAGUAUAGGGGCUGACACCUGCCCGGUGCUGGAAGGUUAAGAGGAGAUGUGCAAGCAUUGAAUUGAAGCCCCAGUAAACGGCGGCCGUAACUAUAACGGUCCUAAGGUAGCGAAAUUCCUUGUCGGGUAAGUUCCGACCCGCACGAAUGGUGUAACGAUCUGGGCACUGUCUCAAUUACCCGCCCGGCGAAAUUGUAGUACCGGUGAAGAUGCCGGUUACCCGCGACAAGACGGAAAGACCCCAUGGAGCUUUACUGCAGUUUAAUAUUGGGUUUCGGUAAUUUAUGUACAGGAUAGGUGGGAGACUGGGAAGCCAGCACGCCAGUGUUGGUGGAGUCACCCUUGGGAUACCACCCUUAAGUUGCUGGAAUUCUAACCUGCGGCCGUGAAUCCGGCCGGGGGACAUUGUUAGACGGGCAGUUUGACUGGGGCGGUCGCCUCCAAAAAGGUAACGGAGGCGCUCAAAGGUUGGCUCAGCACGGACGGAAACCGUGCUUUAGAGUGUAAACGCGUAAGCCAGCCUAACUGCGAGGGUGACGGCCCGAGCAGUAACGAAAGUUGGAGUUAGUGAUCCGGCGGUAUGAGAGUGGAAUUGCCGUCGCUCAACGGAUAAAAGCUACCCUGGGGAUAACAGGCUGAUCUCCCCCAAGAGUCCACAUCGACGGGGAGGUUUGGCACCUCGAUGUCGGCUCAUCACAUCCUGGGGCUGUAUUCGGUCCCAAGGGUUCGGCUGUUCGCCGAUUAAAGUGGUACGCGAGCUGGGUUCAGAACGUCGUGAGACAGUUCGGUCCCUAUCUGUCGUGGGCGUAGGAUAUUUGAGGAGAGCUGUCCUUAGUACGAGAGGACCGGGAUGGACGCACCUCUGGCGCACCAGUUGUUCCGCCAGGAGCACAGCUGGGCAACUAUGUGCGGAUCGGAUAAACGCUGAAAGCAUCUAAGCGUGAAGCCGACUCCAAGAUAAGAUAUCCCAUAGCGUAAGCUAGUAAGGCCCCUUGAAGACUACAAGGUUGAUAGGCUGCGUGUGUAAGCAUGGUAACAUGUUCAGCUUGGCAGUACUAAUAGGCCGAGGGCUUGACCAU